UUAAAUCUGCCUGAUUGUUCCACCUUGGAUAUGCUUCAAUAUAAAUCUGUUGUCCAAUGUCGGAUCAAUUUAGGAUAAAAGGCUUGCUACAAUAAUUUCCUUUCUUGUCAAUAACUCUUAUAUUUAUUUUGAUAUACUAUGGUCUAUGUUGGCUUAUUGCGAAUUGGCUACGAAAUCUACUAAUUGUUCACUUUGGAUAUGCUCUAUUUAAAUCUGUUGUCCAUCGAUAGAACGAUCUUGUAUUACUCGUCCCAUUCGACAUUUUUUUGAUUAGGAUUUAUCUGAAUUAUGUAAUUUAGAAAAGGGUUAUAAUAAACCUUAAAUAUGUAUGUUGGUACCAUAUGUGAUAUAUUGGUCAUUAGGACAACUCCAUUUACAUGACUCAUAAUUUGCGGUUAGGUAUAAUCGAUCGAGUCAAAUGUAAGUGUGUAUAAGUUAGUCGUUGUAUAGGUUAUGUUUUGUUUUGUAGUUAUGAAUAUGGUUAUUAUGGUGUUCUUGUUGACUAUAAUUUGGGGUUUUAUAAAAAUCUACUGAAUCAACUUGAACACAAUUUGGUCUUUAUGAUGUAUGCCACCGAGAACUUGUCCUACGAGUUCUGUGUCACCAAUAUAGGUUAUUUUAGAGUAGAGUAGUAUUCUUAGAUUCGUAGUAUAUUUUAGAUAUUUGGUUAUUCACGCCUGUGUUGGAUCCCACAGCGUGUGAUUUUUUUUAUGGAUACUUGUAUUGAGUAUUUAUAUAUGUAUAAAAAAAAUUGUUCAUUAGAUCAAUUUUUUUUUCUCCGAGUAAAGGGGGAAUGUAACGAUUAGUUAUUACCAUCGUUACUAAAAUAUUUAUUCCAAUAGUAACUAGGUAUGCAACCAACUUUACAGACAAUUGUAUUGAAAGUUGCAGUUGAUCGACGACAAAAUUGGUAACUUUUGGGGAAUUCAGAACCUAGAAGUUGGUUUGUGUGUCGAUACGGCUUCCGGCUGACGUGAUUGUCAUUGAAGAAGGGGCUAUUCGUCACUUCAAUCUCGGCUGUUGUUGAAAGCAGACCCAUCAGCCAUCACGCCAGUGGCCAUUACAGAGAAUAUAAAAUUUUAGUUGAAAUGUUUGAAUAGAAUAUACGUUUACGUGGGAAGAAGUUGUUUUGUUCUUGGUUGUUAAGUGGUUUUGAAAAGAAGAGGUUUUUUUUGUUUUCCAACACCUUUUUGAAGAGUAAUGGCCACUGGUGGAGAUCAAGAUUAAGUCAAUCCUUUUUUUUGGGAUAUGGAAUAAAUAGAGGAUCAUUUUGAGUUCUUUUGGCAUUGGAUGGAUCUUAUUUUUUGUUUUUUUGGAGAUAGACAGUUUUCCCGGUGCUAGGAAGUACCUCCUUGUCGCACCACAUCGUCGUACCUUCUGGUUGGUGAGAAGUACUCCCCCUAAGGUAGAGGAAACCUGGAAUAUACCUUACUUGGCUCUCCCGCAUCAACUUAACCGGAGUUUGGAGAAGCCACAGGCCUACUUUUUGUAGAAACGACAGGUUUUAUUAUUAAAAUUUACAUUUUCAAUUCUUUUACAUAACAUAUUUCAACUUUAACAUUUUUAAUACCAUAUAUAAUCUUAAUAAUCAUAUAAAUUCAUUUUUCUAAAAUCAAUUAACGUAAUCAUAAUCAAUAUUUUUCUUUUCCACAACUUUUAUAUGUCAUUUUCAUUAUUGUAUUUGUAUUCUAUUUUAUUUAAAAUAGUCCGGAGAUCAUAACCUAUCUGGUAAGAUACUGUGCACACUAUCUCGGUUAUUAUCACAAUAUAUCAGUAUUGUCCAGUGUAUCAUUCCGAUCAGAUGUGGGAUUGUCAACCAAUAUUGUAAUCCUCCUUAAUAAUAAGUUUUUGUACACACAUAUUUAGAUCCAUUAACUGUCUUGGUAUAAUAAAUUCAAUAUAUUUGCUUUUCUCUACUGUAAUAUCUGUGUAAUUGACAGGAGCGUACUAGCCUAGUACGUCAGGUGGUUAGCUAGUUUGUAUAAAAUUGUAUAUAGGGGUUAUAGGUAUUUUUUUUUUCAUUAAAUUUGUUGGUUGUACAUA
Molecule: long non-coding RNA, 2043 nt
Filed under: Diabrotica virgifera virgifera (western corn rootworm)
Lineage: Eukaryota; Metazoa; Arthropoda; Insecta; Coleoptera; Chrysomelidae
Description: uncharacterized LOC126884082
Source: RNAcentral